Molecule: ribosomal RNA, 154 nt
Filed under: uncultured bacterium
Lineage: Bacteria
Description: partial 16S ribosomal RNA
Rfam family: Bacterial small subunit ribosomal RNA
Source: RNAcentral
UGGGGAAUAUUGCACAAUGGGCGGAAGCCUGAUGCAGCGACGCCGCGUGAGGGAUGACGGCCUUCGGGUUGUAAACCACUGUCGGGAGGGACGCGGGGCCUCAAAUAGGGGACCCUGGGUGACGGUACCUCCAAAGGAAGCACCGGCUAACUCC